RNAcentral lists this unclassified non-coding RNA (304 nucleotides) under uncultured Alternaria. RNAcentral describes it as "sequence contains ITS1". The stretch from base 1 to 105 matches the Rfam family "5.8S ribosomal RNA", at positions 50 to 154 of the family's 154-position model. Lineage: Eukaryota; Fungi; Ascomycota; Dothideomycetes; Pleosporales; Pleosporaceae. The record is from RNAcentral.
GAAAUGCGAUACGGAGUGUGAAUUGCAGAAUUCAGUGAAUGAUCGAAUCUUUGAACGCACAUUGCGCCCUUUAGUACUCCAAAGGGCAUGCCUGUUCGAGCGUCAUUUGUACCCUUAAGCUUUGCUUGGUGUUGCGCGUCUUGUCUCCAGUUCGCUCGACACUCGCCUUAAAGUCAUUGGCAGCCGGCCUACUGGUUUCGGAGCGCAGCACAAGGCGCGCUCUCAUCCAGCCAAGGUCAGCGUCCAGUAGGCCUUUUUUUCAACUUUUGACCUCGGAUCAGGUAGGGAUACCCGCUGAACUUAA